CCGUCUUCAUUUUUAGACAGGCCCAAGGACGCGCAUACACCCACAUACCGAAAUCCGUAGACGCGUAUGCUGAGGAAACCCCAGAGGAAGGACCAAGCAAAGCGAUACACUUGCACGCACGCGCGCACGGGCCCUUGUUGACGCUCGAAUCAGAACACAUUAUCCGGUGCGUGAUGCUGCGUGGCUGUGUUGCGGCUUGCGGCCAGUGCCGCGAGUCUGCGAGUACUGUCUCCGGUCAAUCGCUCUGGUUGCUGUCGCGGCCGUGGACACGCUCGCCGUCGCUUCCCUCGAGCACACAUGCGUGUCUCGGUCUGCGGCGCACCUUGGGCACCGUUACAUCAUCGCGGUCCUCCUCCUGCGCCACCAUGCACCACCCAACGCGUUGGGUUAGCCGCAAAUCGAUUGAGGAGCAGCUCCCGUCUAACAUCAAAGUCGACCCCAAUGCAUCUGCGGCUGCGAGCAGGGACGACGAGGGGCUCGGCCGCGACGCUUUCUCCAGCGGCAUCAACGGCAUUUACGGUAAUCGUGCCGAGUCGGCGAUGCGCGGCAUGCUGGGGCCGCAGGGGCAGGCAGACGCACGGGAGUCCCGCGCUGUUCCUAUCCUCGGUCGGGCGUCGGUGCAAGGCACGAAGUACACGCUAGACCGAUCGACUGUGUUUGAGCAUUGGCGCUUUCACUGCCCCGAGCCGGUUGGCUGGCAUCUGUCCAAGCUGGGCUCCACGACGUGCAAGAUGGUCAACGACGUGAACGAAGCGGUGGAGUCGCUUCAGCUUCAGAUCAUCAAGGGCUGCAACGUGUUCGAAAUCGACGGAGCCGCCUCGGAGGUACAUCAGAGCAUCGCCCGUGGAAUUUACGAGGCCUUGCAGGCCUUUGAGCUGGACCGCAGCGGCUUUGUAAUGAUAGCUCGCUGCGGCCUCAUCAAGCAGCCCCGCUUCCAGGACGAAAUCACGCGCGUCGAGGCAUCCAACACGGCGGCCGUGCGCAACCGAAUCAUCCCUAUCUUUGAGCGCUACAAGGCCUCCUCGCUGCCAUCGACAUCCCUCAAAUCCGGCUUCCGCAUCAGCGAGCUGGAUGACUCACAGCUGGCGCGGCUGAACCUGCGCCGUGUAGACCGGACGACGGCCGCUGGGCUGUCGCCGGACUGGCUGGAUGCCUUCUUCACCAAUGUUGCCUACAACACGCGGCUGGAGUGCAUCGACGUCCUCCUGCUCGAGGGGAUACACACGCUCUUCGACGGCCGACCGGACGAGCACGUCGAAGACGACAUCCUCCAGCUCUUUGUGUAUCUUGAGCGUCAGGUCAAGCAGGGCGUGCUGCAGUACUACGGGAUCUGCUCACCUCACCUCGCUCCUCCGGUGCCGCGCAAUUAUCCGGAAAUGCCACCCGAUGCGCUUGUGCCAGACAAGUACCGCACGCCGCCGAAGGAGCCGGCCACGAUCAACCUCUAUGGCCUCAUGGCCCUCGCCGAGCGUGCCGGCGGCGCAGACCACCACUUCCGCUUUGUGCAGUACCCCUUCAACCUUACGCAGCACCAGGCGAUCAGCAGUCCUCUGCCGUACGACGCGAAUCACACCCUGGCGACGCUGUGCAAGGCACUGGGGCUCACCGCCCUCGGCUACAGCCCACUGGAGGCGCCAAACUUGAUGCAGCUGCCGGAGCGCUACCACAACUUUCCCAUGGAGGCGGACCUCAAGGCGCUGCGGAUGAACUUCUUCACGGUGUGCGAACGCAGCGUGCUGAAGGAGAUGGAGAUCAAAGACACGAUCGACAAGGGUCCCGACACACUGCCGCCGCUCGAGCAUCUCUUCGUGGCCAGCGUCUACUUGGCGGCGCAGCGACAGUUCACAAACCUCUUCUUCUUUACAGACUGGGCAAACUAUUACAUGACGCCGCGCUUCCGGCGUGCCAUGACGCGCUUCAAAGAGGCGUCCAGCGCGGACCUGAAGGAGUGGGCGAAGCAGUACGAACAGCUCAUCAGCGACCUGCUGCGGAUGCGCCAGCGCAUGUUCCAGCACAAGCACGGCAAGCAGGCCGGACUUGUCAACAUGGCCAUUGACUAUGUGAGCCCCACGCUGGCGCGGUGCCCCAUGCUGAACCAGAAAGCCAUUAACUUUGCCACCUACGGUUGCAAUGCGCUCCUGUGCGGUUUCCACGUGUCGCGGUACUUCCACGAGGCAACAGAGCUGAACCCAGCCAAGGACGGCAACCUGCCUAUUCCCGAAGAAGAGCUCCUGGCGCUGUGCAGUGCAGAGACGGUGAGCUACGCGAACGUGUCUCCGCCGCAUCCGUACAUGCUGGAGCCUCUCGUGGGGGAAGGAAAGAUUUCGAAGCAGCCAAGUAAGGGUGCUGCGUACCUCGUCCGCAUCGACCCUCAGAAUCCCAAGUUCCCGGACAUUCCAGAAGAGCUGCAGACCGGUGACAGCGACGGCGAAGCUCCGGUAUCUGCAGACUGCGCCACAGCAGCUCGGCACAAGGAUUAGGCAUCCGAGAAAGCGGCGAAGGAGUAAUGAGCCACUACGCCGCUCGGUGGGCGCCACGCGAACGGGGGGGGUGUAGGGAGAAAAGUGAGGGCGGAACGGCUAAGGCCCAUACACGUGGGUGUGGUGACGCGUCUUCUGCUUUGCGUGCUCUUGAUCACCGCUUGGCCCCCACUUCCCCUUCCAACACACACACACACUUUCUCCGCCCAUCCACCGACUCGUCUUUCGUUUCCACUAUUGUGCGUAAGCUGUGUACCAAGACCGGCGUGCGGGCGUGCGGGUGCGUGUCGCUCUUACUGCAUAGUAGUCGGCGGUCUUUAUGGAAUCACUUCGUUGUUGGCCGUUGCUGGCUGCCGUUCUUUUUUUUCUAUCGUUUUUCCUCUUUACGACUUGCUUGUCGCCACUCACUCACUCGCCGAUGUCUACGCUGCACAGACACCAUAGCAAUGCGCACUAUGGCUCCCCCUCCCCUCCGUCCCCGCAAGCGCUUCUCUGCGUGUGCCCCUCAGCACCCUCACCCCUCCGCUUCCCGUUUUCCGUUUCUACUUAUGUAUCUCUCAUCGUGGUCCGUGAUGGGUAGCGGGGGGAGAGAAGCUCUAUGUGUGUGUGUGUGUGUGUGUGUGUGUGGAAGAGAGUGAGGG
Molecule: unclassified non-coding RNA, 3121 nt
Filed under: Leishmania donovani
Lineage: Eukaryota; Euglenozoa; Kinetoplastea; Trypanosomatida; Trypanosomatidae
Description: gene:LdHU3.26.1290(CDS-product:hypothetical_prote in_conserved)
Source: RNAcentral